GACGUAGGGGGCCAGCGUUGUUCGGAAUUAUUGGGCGUAAAGGGCGCGUAGGCGGUGCGGUAAGUCACCUGUGAAACCUCUGGGCUUAACUCAGAGCCUGCAGGCGAAACUGCCGUGCUUGAGUGUGGGAGAGGUGCGUGGAAUUCCCGGUGUAGCGGUGAAAUGCGUAGAUAUCUGGAGGAACACCGGUGGCGAAGGCGGCGUUCUGGACUGCAACUGACACUGAGGAACGAAAGCCAGGGGAGCAAACGGG
Molecule: ribosomal RNA, 253 nt
Filed under: uncultured bacterium
Lineage: Bacteria
Description: partial 16S ribosomal RNA
Rfam family: Bacterial small subunit ribosomal RNA
Source: RNAcentral